This 404-nucleotide ribosomal RNA is filed under the name Actinomycetes bacterium. RNAcentral's name for it is "Actinobacteria bacterium partial 16S ribosomal RNA". It matches the Rfam family "Bacterial small subunit ribosomal RNA", at positions 355 to 776 of the family's 1533-position model. The record is from RNAcentral. Lineage: Bacteria; Bacillati; Actinomycetota; Actinomycetes.
CAAGGAAUUUUCCACAAUGGGCGCAAGCCUGAUGGAGCAACGCCGCGUGCAGGACGACGGCCUUCGGGUUGUAAACUGCUUUUGGGGGUGAAGACAUCGACGGUAGCCCCCGAAUAAGCCUCGGCUAACUCUGUGCCAGCAGCCGCGGUAAGACAGAGGAGGCAAGCGUUGUCCGGACUGACUGGGCGUAAAGCGUCCGCAGGUGGUCGUGCAAGUGCGCUGUGAAAGCGGCCCGCUCAACGGGCCGAGGCCAGCACAAACUGCACGACUGGAGGUCGGGAGAGGUCGGUGGAAUUGCCGGUGUAGUGGUGAAAUGCGUAGAGAUCGGCAGGAACACCCAAGGGGAAGCCAGCCGACUGGCCCGCACCUGACACUCAGGGACGACAGCGUGGGGAGCGAACCGG